Molecule: ribosomal RNA, 470 nt
Filed under: uncultured bacterium
Lineage: Bacteria
Description: bacterial SSU rRNA
Rfam family: Bacterial small subunit ribosomal RNA
Source: RNAcentral
UCGAGGAUCUUCCGCAAUGGGCGAAAGCCUGACGGAGCGACACCGCGUGCAGGAUGAAGGCCUUCGGGUUGUAAACUGCUGUCACGCUCUAGGAAUCCCCUACGGUAAAUAGUCGUAGGGUUGACUAAAGCGAGAGGAAGCACCGGCUAACUCUGUGCCAGCAGCCGCGGUAAGACAGAGGGUGCAAACGUUGUUCGGAAUCACUGGGCAUAAAGCGCACGUAGGCUGUUUGCUAAGUCUGAUGUGAAAUACCCCCGGCUCAACCGGGGAACUGCAUCUGAUACUGGCAAACUCGAGGAUGGUUGGGGUGAGCGGAACUCCAGGUGGAGCGGUGAAAUGCGUAGAUAUCUGGAGGAACACCGGUGGCGAAGGCGGCUCACUGGACCAUCUCUGACGCUGAGGUGCGAAAGCUAGGGGAGCAAACGGGAUUAGAUACCCCCGUAGUCCCUGAGCGGGCUGGCAAGGCGCAU